Molecule: ribosomal RNA, 497 nt
Filed under: uncultured bacterium
Lineage: Bacteria
Description: partial 16S ribosomal RNA
Rfam family: Bacterial small subunit ribosomal RNA
Source: RNAcentral
GACGAACGCUGGCGGCGUGCCUAAUACAUGCAAGUUGAGCGCUGAAGGUUGGUACUUGUACCAACUGGAUGAGCAGCGAACGGGUGGGUAACGCGUGGGGAAUCUGCCUUUGAGCGGGGGACAACAUUUGGAAACGAAUGCUAAUACCGCAUAAAAACUUUAAACACAAGUUUUAAGUUUGAAAGAUGCAAUUGCAUCACUCAAAGAUGAUCCCGCGUUGUAUUAGCUAGUUGGUGAGGUAAAGGCUCACCAAGGCGAUGAUACAUAGCCGAUCUGAGAGGGUGAUCGGCCACAUUGGGACUGAGACACGGCCCAAACUCCUACGGGACGCAGCAGUAGGGAGUCUUCGGCAAUGGACGAAAGUCUGACCGAGCAACGCCGCGUGAGUGAAGAAGGUUUUCGGAUCGCAAAACUCUGUUGGUAGAGAAGAACGUUUGUGAGAGUGGAAAGCUCAUCAAGUGACGGUAACUUCCCAGAAAGGGACGGCUAACUACGUG